CAAUAGCGUAUAUUAAAGUUGUUGUGGUUAAAAAGCUCGUAGUUGGAUCUCGGCGGACUGAGGGCGGUUUGCUUGCUAGUAUUACUGCCCUAUAGUCCGUAGUUUUGCCAGAGGUUUCGAGGUGCUCUUAAUCGAGUGUCCCGGGAUGCUGGCAGGUUUACUUUGAAAAAAUUAGAGUGCUCAAAGCAGGCUAUUACGCCUGAAUAUUCGUGCAUGGAAUAAUAGAAUAGGAAGUCGUUUCUAUUUUGUUGGUUUUCGGAAAUCGACUUAAUGAUUAAUAGGGACAGUCGGGGGCAUUAGUACUUAACUGUCAGAGGUGAAAUUCUCGGAUUUGUUAAAGACUAACUUAUGCGAAAGCAUUUGCCAAGGAUGUUUUCAUUAAUCAAGAACGAAAGUUAGGGGAUCAAAGACGAUUAGAUACCG
This 423-nucleotide ribosomal RNA is filed under the name uncultured eukaryote. RNAcentral describes it as "SSU rRNA". It matches the Rfam family "Eukaryotic small subunit ribosomal RNA", at positions 592 to 1017 of the family's 1831-position model. The record is from RNAcentral.